GCUUGUCUCAAAGAUUAAGCCAUGCAUGUCUCAGUACAAGCCAAAUUAAGGUGAAACCGCGAAAGGCUCAUUAAAUCAGUUAUGGUUCCUUAGAUCGUACCCACAAUUACUUGGAUAACUGUGGUAAUUCUAGAGCUAAUACAUGCAAACAGAGCUCCGACCGGAGACGGAAGGAGUGCUUUUAUUAGAUCAAAACCAAUCGGUGGCGGGCUCGUCAUCGUACAACUUGGUGACUCUGAAUAACUUUACGCUGAUCGCACGGUCAUCGCACCGGCGACGCAUCUUUCAAAUGUCUGCCUUAUCAACUGUCGAUGGUAGGUUCUGCGCCUACCAUGGUUGUAACGGGUAACGGGGAAUCAGGGUUCGAUUCCGGAGAGGGAGCCUGAGAAACGGCUACCACAUCCAAGGAAGGCAGCAGGCGCGCAAAUUACCCACUCCCGGCACGGGGAGGUAGUGACGAAAAAUAACGAUACGGGACUCAUCCGAGGCCCCGUAAUCGGAAUGAGUACACUCUAAACCCUUUAACGAGGAUCAAUUGGAGGGCAAGUCUGGUGCCAGCAGCCGCGG
Molecule: ribosomal RNA, 567 nt
Filed under: Semiathe sp. ARC0689
Lineage: Eukaryota; Metazoa; Arthropoda; Insecta; Coleoptera; Curculionidae
Also listed under: 4 other names
Description: SSU rRNA
Rfam family: Eukaryotic small subunit ribosomal RNA
Source: RNAcentral